Molecule: small nuclear RNA, 193 nt
Organism: Ictalurus punctatus (channel catfish)
Lineage: Eukaryota; Metazoa; Chordata; Actinopteri; Siluriformes; Ictaluridae
Product: U2 spliceosomal RNA
Exons: 1
Source: RefSeq, a predicted model, not a curated record
AUCGCUUCUCGGCCUUUUGGCUAAGAUCAAGUGUAGUAUCUGUUCUUAUCAGUUUAAUACCUGAUACGUCCUCCAUUCGAGGACUUUAUAUUAAACGGAUUUUAUUAGAGCGAGGAGCUGGAAGAGGGGCUUGCUCCGUCCGCUCCACGCAUCGACCUGGUAUUGCAGUACCUCCAGGAACGGUGCACCUUUU